GCAGGUAUGGCGGAAUAGGCAGACGCGCUAGCUUCAGGUGCUAGUGGGGGCAACCUCGUGGAAGUUCAAGUCUUCUUACCUGCACCA
This 87-nucleotide transfer RNA is filed under the name Hominimerdicola alba. RNAcentral's name for it is "tRNA-Leu". It matches the Rfam family "tRNA". From Rfam's summary of the family: Transfer RNA (tRNA) molecules are approximately 80 nucleotides in length. RNAcentral also lists the same sequence under 2 other names. Lineage: Bacteria; Bacillati; Bacillota; Clostridia; Eubacteriales; Oscillospiraceae. The record is from RNAcentral.